Molecule: ribosomal RNA, 629 nt
Filed under: uncultured marine Telonemida
Lineage: Eukaryota; Telonemia; Telonemida
Description: SSU rRNA
Rfam family: Eukaryotic small subunit ribosomal RNA
Source: RNAcentral
UUACCCAAUCCUGACACAGGGAGGUAGUGACAAUAAAUAACAAUACUGGACUUUUUCAAGUCUAGUAAUUGGAAUGAGAACAAUCUAAAUACCUUAUCGAGUAUCAAUUGGAGGGCAAGUCUGGUGCCAGCAGCCGCGGUAAUUCCAGCUCCAAUAGCGUAUAUUAAAGUUGUUGCAGUUAAAAAGCUCGUAGUUGGAUCUCAGGGUGAGCUCAGUUGGUCGGCCUAAUUGGUCAGAACUGGCUGACUCUCCCUUGUUUCUGAAUCCCGGUCGGAGUUAAUUCUUCGUUCGUGGACUUCAGAUCGUUUACCUUGAAAAAAUUAGAGUGUUCAAAGCGGGCGUUUGCUUGAAUACAUUAGCAUGGAAUAAUGGAAUAGGACUUUGGUUCUAUUUUGUUGGUUUUGAGGACCAGAGUAAUGAUUAAUAGGGAUAGUUAGGGGCAUUCAUAUUUAAUUGUCAGAGGUGAAAUUCUUGGAUUUAUGAAAGAUGAACUUCUGCGAAAGCAUUUGCCAAGGAUGUUUUCAUUAAUCAAGAACGAAAGUUAGGGGAUCGAAGACGAUCAGAUACCGUCGUAGUCUUAACCAUAAACUAUGCCGACUAGGGAUUGGGAGCGGUUUGUUCAUUGACCC